Molecule: transfer RNA, 93 nt
Filed under: Candidatus Alistipes stercoravium
Lineage: Bacteria; Pseudomonadati; Bacteroidota; Bacteroidia; Bacteroidales; Rikenellaceae
Description: tRNA-OTHER
Source: RNAcentral
GCACUGGUUGCCGAACUCGCCGAAGGCCGCCAUGAUGUCCACCGUGUCUCCGUUCACGCGGAACGUCGCGGGUUCGAGCUCCCGCUCGGUGCG